RNAcentral lists this ribosomal RNA (584 nucleotides) under uncultured bacterium. RNAcentral describes it as "partial 16S ribosomal RNA". It matches the Rfam family "Bacterial small subunit ribosomal RNA", at positions 355 to 935 of the family's 1533-position model. The record is from RNAcentral.
UGGGGAAUAUUGGACAAUGGGCGCAAGCCUGAUCCAGCAAUGCCGCGUGUGUGAAGAAGGCCUUCGGGUUGUAAAGCACUUUUAUCAGGAGCGAAACGCUGUCGGCUAAUACCCGGCGGAACUGACGGUACCUGAGGAAUAAGCACCGGCUAACUUCGUGCCAGCAGCCGCGGUAAUACGAAGGGUGCAAGCGUUAAUCGGAAUUACUGGGCGUAAAGCGUGCGUAGGCGGUUUCUUAAGUCUGCUGUGAAAUCCCCGGGCUCAACCUGGGAAUGGCAGUGGAUACUGGGAGGCUAGAGUGUGUCAGAGGGUGGUGGAAUUCCCGGUGUAGCGGUGAAAUGCGUAGAGAUCGGGAGGAACAUCAGUGGCGAAGGCGGCCACCUGGGACAACACUGACGCUGAGGCACGAAAGCGUGGGGAGCAAACAGGAUUAGAUACCCUGGUAGUCCACGCCCUAAACGAUGCGAACUGGAUGUUGGUCUCAACUCGGAGAUCAGUGUCGAAGCUAACGCGUUAAGUUCGCCGCCUGGGGAGUACGGUCGCAAGACUGAGACUCAAAUGAAUUGACGGGGUCAUAGCUGUUU